GCAGAAUUCAGUGAAUCAUCGAAUCUUUGAACGCACCUUGCGUCUCUGGUAUUCCGGAGAGCACGCCCGCUUUGUAGAUGUUCAUGGG
Molecule: ribosomal RNA, 88 nt
Filed under: Phanerochaete deflectens
Lineage: Eukaryota; Fungi; Basidiomycota; Agaricomycetes; Polyporales; Phanerochaetaceae
Description: partial 5.8S ribosomal RNA
Rfam family: 5.8S ribosomal RNA
About the family: 5.8S ribosomal RNA (5.8S rRNA) is a component of the large subunit of the eukaryotic ribosome.
Source: RNAcentral